AGAGUUUGAUCAUGGCUCAGAGCGAACGCUGGCGGCAGGCUUAACACAUGCAAGUCGAGCGGGCGUAGCAAUACGUCAGCGGCAGACGGGUGAGUAACGCGUGGGAACGUACCUUUUGGUUCGGAACAACCCAGGGAAACUUGGGCUAAUACCGGAUAAGCCCUUACGGGGAAAGAUUUAUCGCCGAAAGAUCGGCCCGCGUCUGAUUAGCUAGUUGGUGAGGUAAUGGCUCACCAAGGCGACGAUCAGUAGCUGGUCUGAGAGGAUGAUCAGCCACAUUGGGACUGAGACACGGCCCAAACUCCUACGGGAGGCAGCAGUGGGGAAUAUUGGACAAUGGGCGCAAGCCUGAUCCAGCCAUGCCGCGUGAGUGAUGAAGGCCCUAAGGUUGUAAAGCUCUUUUGUGCGGGAAGAUAAUGACGGUACCGCAAGAAUAAGCCCCGGCUAACUUCGUGCCAGCAGCCGCGGUAAUACGAAGGGGGCUAGCGUUGCUCGGAAUCACUGGGCGUAAAGGGUGCGUAGGCGGGUCUUUAAGUCAGGGGUGAAAUCCUGGAGCUCAACUCCAGAACUGCCUUUGAUACUGAAGAUCUUGAGUUCGGGAGAGGUGAGUGGAACUGCGAGUGUAGAGGUGAAAUUCGUAGAUAUUCGCAAGAACACCAGUGGCGAAGGCGGCUCACUGGCCCGAUACUGACGCUGAGGCACGAAAGCGUGGGGAGCAAACAGGAUUAGAUACCCUAGUAGUCC
Molecule: ribosomal RNA, 744 nt
Filed under: uncultured bacterium
Lineage: Bacteria
Description: bacterial SSU rRNA
Rfam family: Bacterial small subunit ribosomal RNA
Source: RNAcentral